UCCCCGCUGGUGUAACCGGCAACACGCCCGCCUCUGGAGUGGGUAGCUACAGGUUCGAAUCCUGUGCGGGGAG
This 73-nucleotide transfer RNA is filed under the name Streptomyces ambofaciens ATCC 23877. RNAcentral's name for it is "tRNA-Gln". It matches the Rfam family "tRNA". From Rfam's summary of the family: Transfer RNA (tRNA) molecules are approximately 80 nucleotides in length. Their secondary structure includes four short double-helical elements and three loops (D, anti-codon, and T loops). Further hydrogen bonds mediate the characteristic L-shaped molecular structure. tRNAs have two regions of fundamental functional importance: the anti-codon, which is responsible for specific mRNA codon recognition, and the 3' end, to which the tRNAs corresponding amino acid is attached (by aminoacyl-tRNA synthetases). tRNAs cope with the degeneracy of the genetic code in two manners: having more than one tRNA (with a specific anti-codon) for a particular amino acid; and 'wobble' base-pairing, i.e. permitting non-standard base-pairing at the 3rd anti-codon position. Lineage: Bacteria; Bacillati; Actinomycetota; Actinomycetes; Kitasatosporales; Streptomycetaceae. The record is from RNAcentral. RNAcentral also lists the same sequence under 3 other names.